AUUGAACGCUGGCGGCAGGCCUAACACAUGCAAGUCGAACGAGUGGCGGACGGGUUAGUAAUGUCUGGGAAACUGCCCGAUGGAGGGGGAUAACUACUGGAAACGGUAGCUACUACCGCAUACCAUCGGAUGUGCCCAGAUGGGAUUCGCUAGUAGGUGGGGUAAAGGCUCACCAAGGCGACGAUCCCUAGCUGGUCUGAGAGGAUGACCAGUCACACUGGAACUGAGACACGGUCCAGACGCCUACGGGAGGCAGCAGUGGGGAAUAUUGGACAAUGGGCGAAAGCCUGAUGCAGCCAUGCCGCGUGUAUGAAGAAGGCCUUCGGGUUGUAAAGUACUUUCAGCGAGGAGGCGUUACUCGCAGAAGAAGCACCGGCUAACUCCGUGCCAGCAGCCGCGGUAAUUC
Molecule: ribosomal RNA, 406 nt
Filed under: uncultured bacterium
Lineage: Bacteria
Description: partial 16S ribosomal RNA
Rfam family: Bacterial small subunit ribosomal RNA
Source: RNAcentral